AAAGUUUGAUCCUGGCUCAAGAUGAACGCUGGCGGCGUGCCUAACACAUGCAAGUCGAACGGAGUUCUUAAGGAAUGCGACUUCGGUCAAAUGACUUUUGAACUUAGUGGCGGACGGGUGAUUAACGCUUGAGCAACCUGCCUUUCAGAGGGGGAUAACAUUUGGAAACAGAUGCUUAAUACCGCAUAAGAUUACAGUACCGCAUGAUACAGUGAUCAAAGGAGCAAUCCGCUGAAAGAUGGGCUCGCGUCCGAUUAGAUAGUUGGUGAGGUAACGGCUCACCAAGUCGACGAUCGGUAGCCGGACUGAGAGGUUGAACGGCCACAUUGGGACUGAGACACGGCCCAGACUCCUACGGGAGGCAGCAGUGGGGAAUAUUGCACAAUGGGCGAAAGCCUGAUGCAGCAACGCCGCGUGAGGGAAGACGGUUUUCGGAUUGUAAACCUCUGUUUUCGGUGACGAACAAAUGACGGUAACCGAGUAGGAAGCCACGGCUAACUACGUGCCAGCAGCCGCGGUAAUACGUAGGUGGCAAGCGUUAUCCGGAAUUACUGGGUGUAAAGGGAGCGCAGGCGGGAUAGCAAGUCAGCUGUGAAAACUAUGGGCUCAACCCAUAAACUGCAGUUGAAACUGUUAUUCUUGAGUGGAGUAGAGGCAAGCGGAAUUCCGAGUGUAGCGGUGAAAUGCGUAGAUAUUCGGAGGAACACCAGUGGCGAAGGCGGCUUGCUGGGCUCUAACUGACGCUGAGGCUCGAAAGUGUGGGGAGCAAACAGGAUUAGAUACCCUGGUAGUCCGCACUGUAAACGA
RNAcentral lists this ribosomal RNA (807 nucleotides) under uncultured bacterium. RNAcentral describes it as "bacterial SSU rRNA". It matches the Rfam family "Bacterial small subunit ribosomal RNA", at positions 8 to 809 of the family's 1533-position model. The record is from RNAcentral.